CAGUGAAUUCCCAAUAACAAUUGGCUUACACCAAGGUUCAGCUCUAAGCCUGUAUUUGCUUGCACUAAUCAUGGAUGAGUUGGUGAAACAUUCAAGAUCAGAUCCCUUAGUGUAUGCUUUUGCGGAUGAUAUUGUUUUAGUGGAUGAAACAAAUGCUAGGAUAAACACAAAGUUGGAUUUACAGAAAUCAACUUUAGAAUCAAAAGGUUUUAAGAUAAGUAAAACAAAAACAAAGUAUAUUAUGUGUAGCUUUAGUAACAAUAGGAUUGAGAGAGAGGUGGUGAAAAUUGAUGAUAUGGAGUUACCACACAAUAAGAACUUUAGAUACCUAGGUUCAAUCAUGAAUAAAGAAGGAGAAAUACAGGAUGAUGUUGUACAAAGAAUAAAAAUAGGGUGGACGAAAUGGAGGGGGUGCAUCUGGAAUGUUGUGUGGUAGACAUAUCACUUAAAACUCAAAAGAGAAAUUUUAUAGAAGAGUUAUACAACCAGAAAUGACGUAUGGAGCUGAAUGUUGGGCAUUAAAGAAAAAACAUUUAAACAAACUUAAUGAGACUAAAAUGAGGAUGUUGUGGGGGAUGAGUGGUAAAACUAAAAAAGAUAAAUGAAGAAUGAACAAAUUAGAGCAAACCUUGGAGUUGCCCCUAUUCAUGAUAAGUAGAGAGAAACUCACCUAAGGUGGCAUAGACAUGUGCAAUGGAGGCCUUUGAAUGCUCUAGUACGGAGAAGUGAUUUAUUUCAAAUUGAAGGAGAUAAAAGAGCUAAAGGUGGGUCUAUAAUAACCAUAGUAGAUGUG
Molecule: long non-coding RNA, 793 nt
Organism: Telopea speciosissima
Lineage: Eukaryota; Viridiplantae; Streptophyta; Magnoliopsida; Proteales; Proteaceae
Exons: 2
Source: RefSeq, a predicted model, not a curated record